This 275-nucleotide ribosomal RNA is filed under the name uncultured bacterium. RNAcentral describes it as "partial 16S ribosomal RNA". It matches the Rfam family "Bacterial small subunit ribosomal RNA", at positions 338 to 630 of the family's 1533-position model. The record is from RNAcentral.
CCUACGGGUGGCUGCAGUAACGAAUCUUCCGCAAUGCACGAAAGUGUGACGGAGCGACGCCGCGUGUGGGACGAAGUCCUUCGGGAUGUAAACCACUGUCAGGGGUUACCAAGUUCUGAGGAGCCCCAGAGGAAGGCACGGCUAACUCUGUGCCAGCAGCCGCGGUAAGACAGAGGUGCCGAGCGUUAGGCGGAAUCACUGGGCUUAAAGCGCGUGUAGGCGGGUCCGUAAGUGCCUUGUGAAAUCCCACGGCUCAACCGUGGAACUGCUGGGCA